This 497-nucleotide ribosomal RNA is filed under the name uncultured bacterium. Its description in RNAcentral is "partial 16S ribosomal RNA". It matches the Rfam family "Bacterial small subunit ribosomal RNA", at positions 28 to 507 of the family's 1533-position model. The record is from RNAcentral.
GAUGAACGCUGGCGGCGUGCCUAAUACAUGCAAGUCGAGCGAACAGACGAGGAGCUUGCUCCUCUGACGUUAGCGGCGGACGGGUGAGUAACACGUGGAUAACCUACCUAUAAGACUGGGAUAACUUCGGGAAACCGGAGCUAAUACCGGAUAAUAUAUUGAACCGCAUGGUUCAAUAGUUAAAGACGGUUUUGCUGUCACUUAUAGAUGGAUCCGCGCCGCAUUAGCUAGUUGGUAAGGUAACGGCUUACCAAGGCGACGAUGCGUAGCCGACCUGAGAGGGUGAUCGGCCACACUGGAACUGAGACACGGUCCAGACCCCUACGGGAGGCAGCAGUAGGGAAUCUUCCGCAAUGGGCGAAAGCCUGACGGAGCAACGCCGCGUGAGUGAUGAAGGUCUUCGGAUCGUAAAACUCUGUUAUUAGGGAAGAACAAAUGUGUAAGUAACUAUGCACGUCUUGACGGUACCUAAUCAGAAAGCCACGGCUAACUACGUG